RNAcentral lists this ribosomal RNA (497 nucleotides) under uncultured bacterium. Its description in RNAcentral is "partial 16S ribosomal RNA". It matches the Rfam family "Bacterial small subunit ribosomal RNA", at positions 28 to 507 of the family's 1533-position model. The record is from RNAcentral.
GAUGAACGCUGGCGGCGUGCCUAAUACAUGCAAGUCGAGCGAACAGACGAGGCGCUUGCUCCUUUGACGUUAGCGGCGGACGGGUGAGUAACACGUGGAUAACCUACCUAUAAGACUUGGAUAACUUCGGGAAACCGGAGCUAAUACCGGAUAACAUGUUGAACCGCAUGGUUCAACAGUGAAAGACGGUCUUGCUGUCACUUAUAGAUGGAUCCGCGCCGCAUUAGCUAGUUGGUAAGGUAACGGCUUACCAAGGCAACGAUGCGUAGCCGGCCUGAGAGGGUGAGCGGCCACGCGGGAACGGAGGCACGGUCCAGACUCCUACGGGAGGCAGCAGUAGUGAAUCUGGCGCAAGGGGCGAAAGCCGGACGGAGCGACGCCGCGUGAGGGAAGAAGGUCUUCGGAGCGUAAAACUCUGUUAUUAGGGAAGAACAAAUGUGUAAGGAACUAUGCACGUCGUGACGGUACCUAAUCAGAAAGCCACGGCUAACUACGUG